UACGCAGGUGGCAAGCGUUGUCCGGGAUUACUGGGUGUAAAGGGCGUGUAGGCGGGAUAGCAAGUCAGAUGUGAAAUUCCGGGGCUCAACCCCGGCGCUGCAUCUGAAACUGUUAUUCUUGAGUGUCGGAGAGGGAAGUGGAAUUCCCAGUGUAGCGGUGAAAUGCGUAGAGAUUGGGAGGAACACCAGUGGCGAAGGCGGCUUUCUGGACGAUAACUGACGCUGAGGCGCGAAAGCGUGGGGAGCAAACAGG
RNAcentral lists this ribosomal RNA (253 nucleotides) under uncultured bacterium. RNAcentral describes it as "partial 16S ribosomal RNA". It matches the Rfam family "Bacterial small subunit ribosomal RNA", at positions 524 to 776 of the family's 1533-position model. The record is from RNAcentral.